Molecule: ribosomal RNA, 428 nt
Filed under: uncultured Bacillus sp.
Lineage: Bacteria; Bacillati; Bacillota; Bacilli; Caryophanales; Bacillaceae
Description: bacterial SSU rRNA
Rfam family: Bacterial small subunit ribosomal RNA
Source: RNAcentral
UAGGGAAUCUUCCGCAAUGGACGAAAGUCUGACGGAGCAACGCCGCGUGAGUGAUGAAGGCUUUCGGGUCGUAAAACUCUGUUGUUAGGGAAGAACAAGUGCUAGUUGAAUAAGCUGGCACCUUGACGGUACCUAACCAGAAAGCCACGGCUAACUACGUGCCAGCAGCCGCGGUAAUACGUAGGUGGCAAGCGUUAUCCGGAAUUAUUGGGCGUAAAGCGCGCGCAGGUGGUUUCUUAAGUCUGAUGCGAAAGCCCACGGCUCAACCGUGGAGGGUCAUUGGAAACUGGGAGACUUGAGUGCAGAAGAGGAAAGUGGAAUUCCAUGUGUAGCGGUGAAAUGCGUAGAGAUAUGGAGGAACACCAGUGGCGAAGGCGACUUUCUGGUCUGUAACUGACACUGAGGCGCGAAAGCGUGGGGAGCAAACA